This 498-nucleotide ribosomal RNA is filed under the name uncultured bacterium. RNAcentral describes it as "partial 16S ribosomal RNA". It matches the Rfam family "Bacterial small subunit ribosomal RNA", at positions 30 to 523 of the family's 1533-position model. The record is from RNAcentral.
AUUGAACGCUGGCGGCAUGCCUUACACAUGCAAGUCGAACGGUAACAGGUCUUCAGAUGCUGACGAGUGGCGAACGGGUGAGUAAUACAUCGGAACGUGCCUAGUAGUGGGGGAUAACUACUCGAAAGAGUGGCUAAUACCGCAUGAGAUCUACGGAUGAAAGCAGGGGAUCGCAAGACCUUGUGCUACUAGAGCGGCCGAUGGCAGAUUAGGUAGUUGGUGGGAUAAAAGCUUACCAAGCCGACGAUCUGUAGCUGGUCUGAGAGGACGAUCAGCCACACUGGGACUGGGACACGGCCCAGACUCCUACGGGAGGCAGCAGUGGGGAAUUUUGGACAAUGGGCGAAAGCCUGAUCCAGCAAUGCCGCGUGCAGGAUGAAGGCCUUCGGGUUGUAAACUGCUUUUGUACGGAACGAAAAGCCCCGGGUUAAUACCCUGGGGUCAUGACGGUACCGUAAGAAUAAGCACCGGCUAACUACGUGCCAGCAGCCGCCGCAG